AGAGUUUGAUCAUGGCUCAGAUUGAACGCUGGCGGAAUGCUUUACACAUGCAAGUCGAACGGCAGCACGGGGGCAACCCUGGUGGCGAGUGGCGAACGGGUGAGUAAUACAUCGGAACGUGCCCAGUCGUGGGGGGAUAACGUAGCGAAAGCUACGCUAAUACCGCAUACGAACUCUGGUUGAAAGCGGGGGAUCGCAAGACCUCGCGCGAUUGGAGCGGCCGAUGGCAGAUUAGGUAGUUGGUGGGGUAAAGGCUCACCAAGCCGACGAUCUGUAGCUGGUCUGAGAGGACGACCAGCCACACUGGGACUGAGACACGGCCCAGACUCCUACGGGAGGCAGCAGUGGGGAAUUUUGGACAAUGGGCGCAAGCCUGAUCCAGCCAUUCCGCGUGCAGGAUGAAGGCCCUCGGGUUGUAAACUGCUUUUGUACGGAACGAAACGCGCUGAGUUAAUACCUCGGCGUAAUGACGGUACCGUAAGAAUAAGCACCGGCUAACUACGUGCCAGCAGCCGCGGUAAUACGUAGGGUGCAAGCGUUAAUCGGAAUUACUGGGCGUAAAGCGUGCGCAGGCGGUUAUGUAAGACAGGUGUGAAAUCCCCGGGCUUAACCUGGGAACUGCAUUUGUGACUGCAUAGCUAGAGUACGGUAGAGGGGGAUGGAAUUCCGCGUGUAGCAGUGAAAUGCGUAGAUAUGCGGAGGAACACCGAUGGCGAAGGCAAUCCCCUGGACCUGUACUGACGCUCAUGCACGAAAGCGUGGGGAGCAAACAGGAUUAGAUACCCUAGUAGUCC
RNAcentral lists this ribosomal RNA (794 nucleotides) under uncultured bacterium. Its description in RNAcentral is "bacterial SSU rRNA". It matches the Rfam family "Bacterial small subunit ribosomal RNA", at positions 8 to 796 of the family's 1533-position model. The record is from RNAcentral.